AUGUGAUUAGGUUUGAACCAUCUAAUUUAUUAUUUGGUUUUAUCUAAUUUUGUGGAAGUGUUCCACAUCGAACCAACCUCCUCCAUGUCAAGCCACACGCCCCAUUUAAUUUUGGAUGCCCCAUUUAAUUUGGCAUCUAAGGAGAGGAGUCCUUCUCCUUUACUCCUCUUAAUUUUCUUACAUCUUCUACACAUCCCUUUGAUUUGUGCACCAUUAGAUGACGCAUAGGGACAUAUGGGCAUAGAAGAUAUGGUGGAGUCCUUCUCUUGGAAGGAACACCAUGCCAAUU
This 289-nucleotide long non-coding RNA is filed under the name Elaeis guineensis (African oil palm). RNAcentral describes it as "long non-coding RNA (EGUI_LNC055794)". The record is from RNAcentral. Lineage: Eukaryota; Viridiplantae; Streptophyta; Magnoliopsida; Arecales; Arecaceae.